AGUGAACGCUGGCGGUAGGCCUAACACAUGCAAGUCGAACGGCAGCACAGUAAGAGCUUGCUCUUACGGGUGGCGAGUGGCGGACGGGUGAGGAAUACAUCGGAAUCUACUUUUUCGUGGGGGAUAACGUAGGGAAACUUACGCUAAUACCGCAUACGACCUACGGGUGAAAGCAGGGGAUCUUCGGACCUUGCGCGAUUGAAUGAGCCAAUGUCGGAUUAGCUAGUUGGCGGGGUAAAGACCCACCAAGGCGACGAUCCGUAGCUGGUCUGAGAGGAUGAUCAGCCACACUGGAACUGAGACACGGUCCAGACUCCUACGGGAGGCAGCAGUGGGGAAUAUUGGACAAUGGGCGCAAGCCUGAUCCAGCCAUACCGCGUGGGUGAAGAAGGCCUUCGGGUUGUAAAGCCCUUUUGUUGGGAAAGAAAAGCAGCAGGUUAAUACCCCGCUGUUCUGACGGUACCCAAAGAAUAAGCACCGGCUAACUUCGUG
RNAcentral lists this ribosomal RNA (492 nucleotides) under uncultured bacterium. RNAcentral's name for it is "partial 16S ribosomal RNA". It matches the Rfam family "Bacterial small subunit ribosomal RNA", at positions 29 to 507 of the family's 1533-position model. The record is from RNAcentral.